ACCCGCUGAACUUAAGCAUAUCAAA
RNAcentral lists this ribosomal RNA (25 nucleotides) under Metapochonia bulbillosa. Its description in RNAcentral is "partial 28S ribosomal RNA". The record is from RNAcentral. Lineage: Eukaryota; Fungi; Ascomycota; Sordariomycetes; Hypocreales; Clavicipitaceae.